GACGAACGCCGGCGGCGUGCUUAACACAUGCAAGUCGAACGGAAAGGCCCUGCUUUUGUGGGGUGCUCGAGUGGCGAACGGGUGAGUAACACGUGAGUAACCUGCCCUUGACUUUGGGAUAACUUCAGGAAACUGGGGCUAAUACCGGAUAGGAGCUCCUGCUGCAUGGUGGGGGUUGGAAAGUUUCGGCGGUUGGGGAUGGACUCGCGGCUUAUCAGCUUGUUGGUGGGGUAGUGGCUUACCAAGGCUUUGACGGGUAGCCGGCCUGAGAGGGUGACCGGCCACAUUGGGACUGAGAUACGGCCCAGACUCCUACGGGAGGCAGCAGUGGGGAAUAUUGCACAACGGGCGGAAGCCUGAUGCAGCAACGCCGCGUGCGGGAUGACGGCCUUCGGGUUGUAAACCGCUUUCGCCUGUGACGAAGCGUGAGUGACGGUAAUGGGUAAAGAAGCACCGGCUAACUACGUG
This 468-nucleotide ribosomal RNA is filed under the name uncultured bacterium. RNAcentral's name for it is "partial 16S ribosomal RNA". It matches the Rfam family "Bacterial small subunit ribosomal RNA", at positions 28 to 507 of the family's 1533-position model. The record is from RNAcentral.